Molecule: ribosomal RNA, 504 nt
Filed under: uncultured bacterium
Lineage: Bacteria
Description: partial 16S ribosomal RNA
Rfam family: Bacterial small subunit ribosomal RNA
Source: RNAcentral
AUUGAACGCUGGCGGCAUGCCUUACACAUGCAAGUCGAACGGUAGCACAGAGAGCUUGCUCUCGGGUGACGAGUGGCGGACGGGUGAGUAAUGUCUGGGAAACUGCCCGAUGGAGGGGGAUAACUACUGGAAACGGUAGCUAAUACCGCAUAACGUCUUCGGACCAAAGUGGGGGACCUUCGGGCCUCACACCAUCGGAUGUGCCCAGAUGGGAUUAGCUAGUAGGUGGGGUAAUGGCUCACCUAGGCGACGAUCCGUAGCUGGUCUGAGAGGAGAAACAGCAACACUGGAACUGAGAAACGGUCCAGACUCCUACGGGAGGCAGCGGUGGGGAAUAUUGCACAAUGGGCGCAAGCCUGAUGCAGCCAUGCCGCGUGUAUGAAGAAGGCCUUCGGGUUGUAAAGUACUUUCAGCGGGGAGGAAGGGAGUAAAGUUAAUACCUUUGCUCAUUGACGUUACCCGCAGAAGAAGCACCGGCUAACUCCGUGCCAGCAGCCGCCGUAA